AUCGGCGUGGUUAGCAGAACAAGUUUGAAUACUUGGUCAAAGAGCGUGAAAGCCGCGUAUGCGAAAACAACGCUGACCUUAUGUAUGGUGUUUCGAGUAGGUCGGGGCACGAGAAACCCUGAUUGAAUCCGGCUGGACCACCAGCCAAGGCUAAAUAUAGUAUAUGAUCGAUAGUGAACUAGUACGGUGACGGAAAGGUGAAAAGAACCCCGGGAGGGGAGUGAAAUAGAACCUGAAAUUUUGUGCCUACAAGGAGUCGGAGCCCAGCACCUUUGAAAUCGAGUGGUACAAUGUAGGCGGAUGUUCUACGUGUACGUUUUGCAAAGUGAUCGGGAAUCAGAUCAAAUUUACUUCGGUCAGACUAGUGACUUAAGACGACGUCUCUCGGAACAUAAUUCCGGUAAGGAUACUUAUACCAAGAUAUAUGCGCCAUGGAGGGUUGUCUAUUAUGAAGCCUAUUCAUCACGUAAGCUGGCAUUAGCCCGUGAGAGGCAGUUGAAAGCUUAUGGACAAGCCAGGACUGCUCUGAAGAAGAGACUAAAUUUGAUCUGAUACUCGAUUUCAAAGGUGCUGGGUGACGGCGUGCUUUUUGUAGAACGAUCCAGCGAGUUAAUUUUUACGGCGAGGUUAAGUCAGAUGACGAAGCCACAGUGAAAGCGAGCAUUAACAGUGCGAUUUAGUCGUAAGGAUUAGACCCGAAACCAGGUGACCUAACCAUGAGCAGGUUGAAGCAACCUUAAUCGGUUGUGGAGGACCGAACCAGUGUAUAUUGCAAAAUGCUUGGAUGACUUGUGGUUAGCGGUGAAAUGCCAAUCGAACUUGGAGAUAGCUGGUUCUCCGCGAAAUAGUUAUAGGACUAGCGUCGUGUGAUAGCUUACGGGGGUAGAGCUCUGUCAAGAGAUAGGGGGAGCAAUCCUACCUACUCUUAAUAAACUACGAAUACCGUAUGUCUGUAUCACGGCAGUUAGAACGUCGGUGCUAAGAUCGGCGCUCAAAAGGGAAACAGCCCAGACCAUCAUCUAAGGUCCCCAAAUUUACGCUAAGUGGGAAACAAGGUGGAAUUUCUUAAACAGCUAGGAUGUUGGCUUAGAAGCAGCCAUUCAUUUAAAGAGUGCGUAACAGCUCACUAGUCAAGAGAUUCUGCGUGGAAGAUAUAACGGGGCUAAGCGUAAUACCGAAGAUAUGGAUUGCAAUUUAUUGCAGUGGUAGCGGAGCGUUCCUAUCGGCAGUGAAGCCGGACUGUUAAGUACCGGUGGAGCGUUAGGAAGUGAGAAUGCUGGAACGAGUAACCAUAAGACAGGUGAGAAUCCUGUCGGCCGAAAGAGCGAGGUUUCCUGGGCUAUGGUAAUCAUCCCAGGGUUAGUCGGGCCUAAGCCGAGGCGUUUAGCGUAGGCGAUGGACAUCAGGUUAAUAUUCCUGAACUAGUCAAACUUUGUAUGCAGUUAGCGAUGAGAUAGGUGGAGCGGAUUCAUGGUUUAUCCGUUCAAGUGAUAGAGGAAUCUUGAUCGAGUAAAAGUGAACCUACGGGUUUACGAUUCCGCUGAAGGCAUUGACCAGAAAAGCUGGCAUACGCAUGGGUUUGGCUACCCGUACCGCAAACCGACACAGGUGCUCGAGUCGAGGAGACUAAGGCUUACGAGAGAAUGAUUGCUAAGGAACUCGGCAAUACAGCGACCGUAACUUCGGAAUAAGGUCUGCCUACAUUUGUAGGCCGCAGCUAAAGAGCCCACGGAACUGUUUAUCAAAAACUCAGGUCUCUGCUAACACGAAAGUGGAUGUAUAGGGGCUGAAACCUGCCCGGUGCCGGAAGGUUAAGGGGAUUGCUUCACGGUGAGAACUGAAGCCCCGGUGAACGGCGGCGGUAACUAUAACCGUCCUAAGGUAGCGAAAUUCCUUGUCAGGU
This 1903-nucleotide ribosomal RNA is filed under the name human oral metagenome. Its description in RNAcentral is "bacterial LSU rRNA". It matches the Rfam family "Bacterial large subunit ribosomal RNA", at positions 319 to 1977 of the family's 2925-position model. The record is from RNAcentral.